Molecule: ribosomal RNA, 483 nt
Filed under: uncultured bacterium
Lineage: Bacteria
Description: partial 16S ribosomal RNA
Rfam family: Bacterial small subunit ribosomal RNA
Source: RNAcentral
AUUGAACGCUGGCGGCAGGCCUAACACAUGCAAGUCGAGCGGAUGAAGGGAGCUUGCUCCUGGAUUCAGCGGCGGACGGGUGAGUAAUGCCUAGGAAUCUGCCUGGUAGUGGGGGAUAACGUCCGGAAACGGGCGCUAAUACCGCAUACGUCCUGAGGGAGAAAGUGGGGGAUCUUCGGACCCCACGCUAUCAGAUGAGCCUAGGUCGGAUUAGCUAGUUGGUGGGGUAAAGGCCUACCAAGGCGACGAUCCGUAACUGGUCUGAGAGGAUGAUCAGUCACACUGGAACUGAGACACGGUCCAGACUCCUACGGGAGGCAGCAGUGGGGAAUAUUGGACAAUGGGCGAAAGCCUGAUCCAGCCAUGCCGCGUGUGUGAAGAAGGUCUUCGGAUUGUAAAGCACUUUAAGUUGGGAGGAAGGGCAGUAAGUUAAUACCUUGCUGUUUUGACGUGACCAACAGAAUAAGCACCGGCUAACUUCGU